AUUGAACGCUGGCGGCAUGCCUUACACAUGCAUGUCGAACGGCAGCACGGGUGCUUGCACCUGGUGGCGAGUGGCGAGCGGGUGAGUAAUACAUCGGAACGUACCUUAUCGUGGGGGAUAACGCAGCGAAAGCUGUGCUAAUACCGCAUACGCCCUGAGGGGGAAAGCGGGGGAUCGAAAGACCUCGCGCGAUUAGAGCGGCCGAUGCCUGAUUAGCUUGUUUGUGGGGUAAAAGCCCACAAAGGCGACGAUCAGUAGCUGGUCUGAGAGGACGAUGAGCCACACUGGGACUGAGACACGGCCCAGACUCCUACGGGAGGCAGCAGUGGGGAAUUUUGGACAAUGGGGGCAACCCUGAUCCAGCAAUGCGGCGUGAGUGAAGAAGGCCUUCGGGUUGUAAAGCUCUUUUGUCAGGGAAGAAACACCGGCUCUAACACAGUCCGGGAAUGACGGUACCUGAAGAAUAAGCACCGGCUAACUACGUGCCAGCAGCCGCCGCCG
RNAcentral lists this ribosomal RNA (501 nucleotides) under uncultured bacterium. Its description in RNAcentral is "partial 16S ribosomal RNA". It matches the Rfam family "Bacterial small subunit ribosomal RNA", at positions 29 to 523 of the family's 1533-position model. The record is from RNAcentral.